GAAGGGGCUGCGGCGGCCCUAGGUGGGUGCUGGGCGCAAGGGUGCCUUAAGGGACGCCCGCAGGAAGACAGGAGGGGUGAGCGUGGGGGCCAGGCCAGAAGAAGGGGACAUGGAAAGCGGAGAAAGGAAACUCCCAACAACGAGAUGGAAGAGAACCUGAGCGGGCGCCGGACAGGGGAGGAGCCACUGCGCGGGGACGCCGGGUGGAGGACGGAGAAGCGGACACACCCUUGGGCGGGGACUGGACCCCGAAGGCAUGUGCACGGGACCCAGGAGCUGCAGCUUCUCCCCGCUCUUCAGAUGUGUGCUGAUCUGAGGCCAGCAGAGCUGGGGUGCCAGCAGUGGAGGACAAGCAAGCGGGCCUGCACCCCUGUCCAUCCAGGGCGUGCUAGCUGCAAGCUCGCAAGCUGGAGGGUCUCACAACGUGGAGCAGGAGAAGGAGACAGUCUCAGGAAAGAGAAGAUGAAAGACAAACCCUUCUCCACGGAACAAGAGAUGGGAGAAUCGCUUCUCAAAGGAGGACUUGGUGCCCAGAAGGUAAGAAGAAAGCCCCAUAGGCGUGUCAGCGGCUCCAAACGGCAGCCUUUCCCUUUGCCCAGGGGCCUGCGAUGCGGGAUUCCAAGGAUAAAAUGGUGGAGCUCGGACACCUUCAGAGAAGGGGCCUUCUGGUCAGACUGCACCCCACUGUCAUUGUUUUGCGAGGAGGGGAGCCUGACGGCCCCUUGACGAAGCAGCGUUUGCCUGAGUUCUAAGAACAUUGAACCUAGAAUUCCACACACCGUGAAGCCAGCAUCCAAGUGAAACCGCACAACGACGGUGUCUUCACGGCCUGUAAACGUCCAAGUACCACGCACGGUCUCUAAGAAAUUACUGAAAGAUACACCCUAGCGAAAUGAACAGGGAAUCCUAGGGUAAGACAGGAUGCCAGCGAAGAAACCGCUUUGGACUGUUAAAAAGAAAAUCAAAUAACAACUUGAGAGCGAAUUCCAGAUGACUGAACACGGCACGUGGCAAGCAGAGGGAGGGGCGGGAAGUACAAGUUGACUAGAGCUCUUCUAUUGCUAGAGGAUUUUAGAAUGGACAGAAAAAGGCUUAAAAUGUUAAAAUACCCAAGUUUCUCCUAAAAAAUGGAAAUAGGAUUUACAAUUCCAUGACACAUGGGUGAAAACUGAAAGGAAGAAAAAUUGACCGUGCCAAUACAAAGCAGAAAAAAAGGAAAAAUGCGUGAUAAAUAAGGACCAGAACAUGAGAUGACAGGGAUCCGUUCAAAUGUUUGAGCUGAGAGACAGGAUUGAAUUAAAGUCGUGCUAAAAGACUGAGACUCUCAAAUUGGAAUAUAAACGUCCUUAAAUAGUGUUUACAAGAAAUACUAAAAUGUCAGAGAUUGAAAAUAAGAGUGAAAAGUAUGUAUCAUAUAAUUUUUGCUCCUCGAAAGACCAUGAAGAGAAGGAAGAACGAAAGGCUAAAAACGAGAGGGUAUUUGCAACACGUGCACCUUGCAAAUGAUGGGUGCCCAGAAUAUACAGAGAGCCCUUUCAACAACACUGGAACACGACCAGCCAGUGAGACGGCGGGCAAAGCCCGUCAGCUAGCAGACGACAACACGGAAAGGGCCAAUACCUUCACUAGGCAUUUUGCAAAUGCGAAGAGAAACGCACCAAGUGGUCACAGACGUUCAAGCCUGGCAAUACCCGGUGACGCCUAGGAGGUGAGUCACUGAGACACACACAUCCUGCUGGCCAGAACAUCAGGUGGUGCAAUCAUCUGGGUAAAUUAUAUGGCAUUAGCCAACGAGGUUGGACGCGUGCAUAGCAAACCACCCCAAAACUUCACAGUCAAAACAACAACCAUGCCCUUGGCUCACGGGUCUGCCCUGCGGGCAGGAGUCCACAGUCACGGCUCGUCUACGCUGCGCCUCGCCAGCUGGGGCACCUCCCCAGGGGCUGGAGGGAUCGCGUCCAAAAUGGCAUUCCCACGCAGGUGUUCAGCCAGCUCAGGCUGUGGGCUGAGGGCGUGGGGACUUCCUCAUGGGACGGAGGCCAGGUUCCGAGAGCAAGGAGUCCCAAGAGAACCAGCUGGGACGUGUAUUGCCUUUUAUGUCAUCUCCUCAGAAGCCACAUGGCGUCACUUCCGCUCCAACCCAUCCAGAUGCAAGUCGUGAGGGGACACUGUCACCUGCUUCCUAUAGAGAGAAGUGUCAGGGUCCCUCUUUAGCGAGAGCGCAUGCUGUGGAAGAAGUUGCUGUGGCCACUUUGGGGUGAUGCAAGCUGCCACGUGUGCGGGCUGCGCCCAGCCACGGGGUCCGGCCGCCGGGUCCACCCGGACUGCUCCGCACCAGCACGCACGCGGCCUGGAGACCCGAACGGGUUCUUUGGAGGACUCGUGGCAGUGUCCAGGAGCAAAGAUGCUGGGGAGACCCUGAGAGUCCACGGACAGUGAAGGGGACGAGCAAGGGGCAUCAUAGAGUGGCGGAGCGACCGCAGCUGACAGGAGCGGACCACAGUACCACGAGCCACGUGUCGGGUCUCGGACAACAAUGCCGAAUGGGACCGGCUCACGGAAGGCUGUCACCUGCGGUUCCACGCACACUGGGCAGACGGAGCUGGGACAGGGGCGUGUGAGGACGACACACACCCCUCUGUCUCCCCUGACAUCUAUGAAUGAACCUUGAGUUCGUGCUGGUGGUCACAGUUCCAACCCAGCAGAGGCCACCCGGCUCGUCCCCUCUCUGUGUGAUGCUCUUUCAACAGGAAGAGCCCCCGCGUUCACCUAGUGGUCAGCCCGGAGCUUGGCCUCAGACACAACAGCUGCUGCCCCCUAUGGGGUGCACCGGCCAAAAGCUGGGUUCUGGGGACAUCAAGGAUCUCCUGCCCCACCCCACACGUCCCACCGUUAGCUCUGCAGCUGAAGGCCCGGGCCCAGGAAAGGCAAGCGGAAGGUGCCAGCGUUGUUUCCAAGGCUCUGUUUUCUAGAGACUGGAGAUAAAACUCUUCUUUUCUCCUGCUCUGUCUCUAAGCUCACGGAGUAGCCUGUGCCCUCAGAUGCAAGUCGUGAGGGGACACUGUCACCUGCUUCCUAUAGAGACAAGCGAAACAUUCUUUAAGUGGUGAUUUUCCCUCUUCGGCAUUCAGGGGAAAUUGUUGUUACUGACUCUUCACUUUUAAUAGAAAUCUGGUUAUUUGCAUAGUUUCAAUAGAAAUCAGUUCUCCUCUUUGCCAGGACACAACAGGACAAAUCGAUUGUGCAGCCAAGACCUGACGCUGGUGUCGUGUCUGAGAAAACAUCCCCUGUGGUUCCGUGUGACCCACCGAGCUGAGGGUCAAGGGCCAUAGGGCCUGUGUUGACCCAACACCCCCACAGGCCUCAGGCCCACGCCGUCCAGGCCCCUGUGCCGCAGUGCGAGCUGGGGCAGGCACCACGGUCCUGGGGAGGGUGGCAGGUUCUGCAGGCAAGGUUCAGUUGUGUAACCGAGAAAGAGAGGAGAUUAGGAGAAAUUAAACUCUCAGGUGUAGCAGAGGCCCAGUCCCACACCCGCGACCUCCCAGGCAGAAGCCGAGUUUCCGGCCUCGGCGGUGGGAAAUGCCAUGUGGCUCGGACGUGCUGGCCGAAGCUGUUCAUUACCAUCCCUGCGGCUCCUGUGCGGGUGCUUGCUGUGGUGCACAGUAACCUUUGGAGAUUCUCGUGAUGGAGGGAGGGGGUGGCGCUAAUAAAAAUUUUCCGAAAGGCAGGACGGUGGCGGGCCCUUUGGGUGGGAGGCUCAGUGUGGUCCCCAGACCUGACUCUCUGGGGUGCGCUGUUUAACUUGUUAUUUACUAUGGAUUAUGACUUUUUUACGACUCGUGGAGGACAGACUUGUAGAAAACGAUGGCUAUGUAAAAUGAUUCUUGUCUGACAGCAACGCAAAUGAAUUUUGCUCACUAGAAAGUGACAGAAAUGACUUCUGUCUGGUAGGGAAGAUUCCGGUUAGAACAGCUCGCGGUUUUACGGCCCCUGGAGAACGGUGGCCUGUUUUUUGAUCUCAGUUAACACGCUUACCCCAGCGAGCUUUUUUCCAGCCCCUACAAAUACUUCCCUCUCCCUGCAAGCUUUUGAACCAGCCUCACCAUCGUGCUGGUUUCUGCAUGAAUGACUUAAAUAAACCUUUGACACACCCUCACUUUAGAGCUGCAAUGUCGCAUUUUUAAGUUUUUUAAAAUUUAUGUUUUGACAGCUCCCACGUGUAGCCGCACCCUCAGCACCUCCCGUGGGGCGUCUAAUACACAUCUCAGACUUCACAGGCCUGAGAUCGCGUGCCUGGCCCUCAUCCCCAAACUUCUCUCAUCUUUUUCAUCUGCUACGGGUUGAACCGUGCCCCCCAAAAAGAUAAGUGGAUGUCCCAAUCCCCAAACCUGUGGCUGUGACCUCGCUGGAAAUGGGUCUUCACAGGCGAUCACCUCGACAGGAGGUCACAGGGCCGGCCCGAACCCAGUGACUGCUGUGCUUGUAAGGACAGGGGGUUUGGACGCAGACACGCAGGGAGAGGGACAUGCGACAACAGAGGCAGAGACUGGAAGGCCGAGCUCCCCGGCCACCAGGAGCUGGAGGCAGGAAGGGUUCGGGGUGGGGGAGCCCUGCGGACGCACGACCUCAGCCUUGCAGCCUCCAGGACGUGACACAGCGCGUUUUCCGUUGUCUGAACCACCCAGUUUGUGGUACGUUGUUACGGCAGCUUCACUAUCUCAGUAGAUGUUGACCCCAUGCUUCCUGAGUGAGAGGCAGGGCCUUUCUGCCCACAUCUGCUCCGUCAGCAAAUACUGUUGGCUCCCCCUUCAAAAUGUGUCCAGAACCAGCCCUGUGUCCCCACCUCCGGUCACCUCUGCAGAGCCAGGCAGUGUUCUCCCUCACCAGGCCAUCCCGGAAUCCCGACUACUCUCAACAGCCCAAGUGACACUGCUGUGCUCAGAACCUUCCAGUGGCUCCCCACCUCUCAGAAUAAAAGCCAAAGUCCUCCACUCAACAACCAAAAUAAACCAGAUUAGAAAACGGGUAAAGAACUUGAAAGACAUUUCUCCAAAGAAGAUACACGAACGGCCAAUAAGCACAUGGAGAGGUCCUCAGCAUCGGCAGCCAUCGGGGGGACGCAGGUGAGAACCACAGACGCCACACCCAGGAGGACGGAGAGAUCCGAAAAGCCUGACGACAGCAAGCGUCAGUGAAGAUGCGGAGAAACUGGAACGCUCUUGCACUCCGGCGGGAACGCGAAAUGGGCAGCUGAGCAUUUCCCCAAAUGCUUAAACACAGAGUCACCACGUGCCCCAGCCCCACUCCCGGCUGUACCGCCAAGAGAGUGAACGCACCUGUCCACACAGAUGUGCACAUGGAGACGCACAGCAGGAUCGUCACCACGGCCAAGGAGUGAAAACGCACCAAAUGGCCACCAGCUGACGACGGACAAGGGAAAUGUGGCCUGUCCGUAUGGAAUAUUCUCUGGCAAUAAGGAGAAAGCGCUGAAAUCCACUACAACACGGGAACGAUGCUCGGAGGAGGAAGCCGAAGGCUCGCGCGAUUUCAUCGCUAUGAAAUGUCACAGAGACAGAAAUCCGUGGAGACAGAAAGCUCGUUCGUGGUAUGGGCUUUCUCUGGGGGUGGCGAAAACGUCCCAAAAUUGGCUGGUAAGCGUGGCACAACCUCGUACCUAUAAUAAAAAUCAUUCGAUUGUACAAUUUUAAAUGGGUGAAUUGUAUGGUUUGUGAGUUAUAUCUCAAUAAAGCUGUUUUUAAAAUACA
Long non-coding RNA from Pteropus alecto (black flying fox), 5765 nucleotides. RefSeq lists it as uncharacterized. The transcript has 2 exons. Lineage: Eukaryota; Metazoa; Chordata; Mammalia; Chiroptera; Pteropodidae. The record is from RefSeq and is a predicted model, not a curated record.